GGCUGGAUGGUGUAUAGGUAACACCUCUGCGUUGAAUUUUCGAUCCCUUGAACCCGGAGUUGUAUCUUCCGCAGAUGAGCCCUGUUCGAAUCGGGGUCCAGCCA
Molecule: non-coding RNA, 104 nt
Organism: Lyophyllum atratum
Lineage: Eukaryota; Fungi; Basidiomycota; Agaricomycetes; Agaricales; Lyophyllaceae
Source: the annotation of a GenBank genome assembly